UCUCCGUAGGUGAACCUGCGGAGGGAUCAUUACAGAGUUCAUGCCCUCCGGGUAGAUCUCCCACCCAUUGCUAUAACUACUCUCGUUGCUUUGGCGGGCCGCUGGGCCCUGCCCGUCCGCCGGCCCCGGCUGGCGCGUGCCCGCCAGAGACCUCACAAACUCUGAAUGUUAGUGUCGUCCGAGUAACUAUACAAUCGUUAAAACUUUCAACAACGGAUCUCUUGGUUCUG
This 230-nucleotide unclassified non-coding RNA is filed under the name plant metagenome. RNAcentral's name for it is "partial contains small subunit ribosomal RNA, internal transcribed spacer 1, and 5.8S ribosomal RNA". The record is from RNAcentral.